RNAcentral lists this ribosomal RNA (558 nucleotides) under Bacillus pumilus. RNAcentral's name for it is "bacterial SSU rRNA". It matches the Rfam family "Bacterial small subunit ribosomal RNA", at positions 80 to 628 of the family's 1533-position model. Lineage: Bacteria; Bacillati; Bacillota; Bacilli; Caryophanales; Bacillaceae. The record is from RNAcentral.
UUAUCUAUGGAGUAGCGGCGGGGGUGAGUACACGUGGGUAACCUGCCUGUAAGACUGGGAUAACUCCGGGAAACCGGAGCUAAUACCGGAUAGUUCCUUGAACCGCAUGGUUCAAGGAUGAAAGACGGUUUCGGCUGUCACUUACAGAUGGACCCGCGGCGCAUUAGCUAGUUGGUGAGGUAACGGCUCACCAAGGCGACGAUGCGUAGCCGACCUGAGAGGGUGAUCGGCCACACUGGGACUGAGACACGGCCCAGACUCCUACGGGAGGCAGCAGUAGGGAAUCUUCCGCAAUGGACGAAAGUCUGACGGAGCAACGCCGCGUGAGUGAUGAAGGUUUUCGGAUCGUAAAGCUCUGUUGUUAGGGAAGAACAAGUGCAAGAGUAACUGCUUGCACCUUGACGGUACCUAACCAGAAAGCCACGGCUAACUACGUGCCAGCAGCCGCGGUAAUACGUAGGUGGCAAGCGUUGUCCGGAAUUAUUGGGCGUAAAGGGCUCGCAGGCGGUUUCUUAAGUCUGAUGUGAAAGCCCCCGGCUCAACCGGGGAGGGUCAUUG